This 238-nucleotide ribosomal RNA is filed under the name uncultured bacterium. Its description in RNAcentral is "partial 16S ribosomal RNA". It matches the Rfam family "Bacterial small subunit ribosomal RNA", at positions 98 to 334 of the family's 1533-position model. The record is from RNAcentral.
CCGCACGGGUGAGUAACACGUAUCCAACCUGCCGUCUACUCUUGGCCAGCCUUCUGAAAGGAAGAUUAAUCCAGGAUGGCAUCAUGAGUUCACAUGUCCGCAUGAUUAAAGGUAUUUUCCGGUAGACGAUGGGGAUGCGUUCCAUUAGAUAGUGGGCGGGGUAACGGCCCACCUAGUCAACGAUGGAUAGGGGUUCUGAGAGGAAGGUCCCCCACAUUGGAACUGAGACACGGUCCAA